CAGCCGCCGCGGUAAUACGUAGGUGGCAAGCGUUGUCCGGAAUUAUUGGGCGUAAAGGGCUCGCAGGCGGUUUCAUAAGUCUGAUGUGAAAGCCCCCGGCUCAACCGGGGAGGGUCAUUGGAAACUGGGAAACUUGAGUGCAGAAGAGGAGAGUGGAAUUCCACGUGUAGCGGUGAAAUGCGUAGAGAUGUGGAGGAACACCAGUGGCGAAGGCGACUCUCUGGUCUGUAACUGACGCUGAGGAGCGAAAGCGUGGGGAGCGAACAGGAUUAGAUACCCCCGUAGUCCCUGUCUCUUAUAC
RNAcentral lists this ribosomal RNA (301 nucleotides) under uncultured bacterium. Its description in RNAcentral is "partial 16S ribosomal RNA". It matches the Rfam family "Bacterial small subunit ribosomal RNA", at positions 509 to 807 of the family's 1533-position model. The record is from RNAcentral.